GAAGUACUCCCUCCGUUCCAAAUUACUCGUCGCAGAAAUGGAUGUAUCUAGAACUAAAAUACAUUUAGAUACAUCCAUUUCUGCGACGAGUAAUUCGGAACGGAGGGAGUAGAUA
Non-coding RNA from Triticum urartu, 115 nucleotides. The record is from Rfam. Lineage: Eukaryota; Viridiplantae; Streptophyta; Magnoliopsida; Poales; Poaceae.